UACCUUGUGGAAUGGGACCUUUGGUGU
This 27-nucleotide non-coding RNA is filed under the name Homo sapiens (human). The record is from RNAcentral. Lineage: Eukaryota; Metazoa; Chordata; Mammalia; Primates; Hominidae.